This 1412-nucleotide ribosomal RNA is filed under the name metagenome. RNAcentral describes it as "SSU rRNA". It matches the Rfam family "Eukaryotic small subunit ribosomal RNA", at positions 1 to 1423 of the family's 1831-position model. The record is from RNAcentral.
UCUGGUUGAUCCUGCCAGUAGUCAUAUUGCUUGACUCAAAGAUUAAGCCAUGCACGUGUCAGUACAAUCCCUAGCAUGGAAAAACUGCGGAUGGCUCAUUAGAUCAGUUAUGGUUCCUUAGAACGUACAUCCCAAGUGGAUAACCCUGGCAAUUCUAGAGCUAAUACAUGCACCGAAGCUCCGACCGCAAGGGACGAGCGCAGUUAUUGGACCGAACGCAUCCCGGCGUCAAACCCGGGGCUGUUGAGGUGACUCUGGAUAACCAUGCGGAUCGCACGGCCUUUGCGCUGGCGACAAUUCUUUCGAAUGUCUGCCCUAUCAGAGUCGAUGGUAGUCGAGAAGGACUACCAUGCUGACAACGGGUAACGGGGAAUCAGGGUUUGAUUCCGGAGAGGGAGCCUGAGAAACGGCCACCACAUCCAAGGAAGGCAGCAGGCACACAAAUUACCCACUCCUGACACAGGGAGGUAGUGACGAAUAAUAACAAUACGGGCGUCUUUCGAGGCCCCGUAAUUGGAAUGAGUGCAAUUUAAAUCCUUCAACGAGGAUCUAUUGGAGGGCAAGUCUGGUGCCAGCAGCCGCGGUAAUUCCAGCUCCAAUAGCGUAUAUUAAAGCUGUUGCAGUUAAAAAGCUCGUAGUUGGAUCCUAGUCUUCUGGGCGGGCGGUCCGCCUCGCUGGUGGACGUCUGCGUCGCCCAGGUCUGAGUUGCUGGGGAGGAUCCUGGUGCCCUUUACCGGGUGCCGGGGUCUGCCCGCAAGUUUUACUUUGAAAAAAUCAGAGUGCUCAAAGCAGGCCGGCAGAGCCUGAAUGCAUUUUCAUGGAAUAAAUGAACAAGACCUCCGUUCUGUUGGGUUCCAGUUCUGGAGGUAAUGAUCAAGAGGGCCUGACGGGGGCAUACGUAUUGCAGGGCGAGAGGUGAAAUUCAGUGACCCUUGCAAGACGAACUAAAGCGAAAGCAUUUGCCAAGAAUGGUUUCCUUGAUCAAGAACGAAAGUCGGAGGAUCGAAGACGAUCAGAUACCGUCGUAGUUCCGACUGUAAAUGAUGCCAGCUGAAAAUCCGCCAGCGUGUCAUCCCUGACCUGGCUGGCAUUCCCCGGGAAACCUAAGCCUUUGGGUUCCGGGGGAAGUAUGGUUGCAAAGCUGAAACUUAAAGGAAUUGACGGAAGGGAACCACCAGGAGUGGAGCCUGCGGCUUAAUUUGACCCAACACGGGAAAACUCACCCGGCCCGGACACUGUAAGGAUUGACAGAUUGAGAGCUUUUUCUUGAUUCGGUGGUUGGUGGUGCAUGGCCGUUCUUAGUUGGUGGAGUGAUUUGUCUGGUCAAUUCUGAUAACGAACGAGACUCUAGCCUGCUAAAUAGUGCGCCGAUCGGUUCUGCCGGUCGAGCGGUUACUUCUUAGAGGGACAAC